RNAcentral lists this ribosomal RNA (1486 nucleotides) under metagenome. RNAcentral's name for it is "bacterial SSU rRNA". It matches the Rfam family "Bacterial small subunit ribosomal RNA". The record is from RNAcentral.
AGAGUUUGAUCCUGGCUCAGGAUGAACGCUAGCUACAGGCUUAACACAUGCAAGUCGAGGGGCAGCAUGGUCUUAGCUUGCUAAGGCCGAUGGCGACCGGCGCACGGGUGAGUAACACGUAUCCAACCUGCCGUCUACUCUUGGACAGCCUUCUGAAAGGAAGAUUAAUACAAGAUGGCAUCAUGGGUCCGCAUGUUCACAUGAUUAAAGGUAUUCCGGUAGACGAUGGGGAUGCGUUCCAUUAGAUAGUAGGCGGGGUAACGGCCCACCUAGUCUUCGAUGGAUAGGGGUUCUGAGAGGAAGGUCCCCCACAUUGGAACUGAGACACGGUCCAAACUCCUACGGGAGGCAGCAGUGAGGAAUAUUGGUCAAUGGGCGAGAGCCUGAACCAGCCAAGUAGCGUGAAGGAUGACUGCCCUAUGGGUUGUAAACUUCUUUUAUAAAGGAAUAAAGUCGGGUAUGCAUACCCGUUUGCAUGUACUUUAUGAAUAAGGAUCGGCUAACUCCGUGCCAGCAGCCGCGGUAAUACGGAGGAUCCGAGCGUUAUCCGGAUUUAUUGGGUUUAAAGGGAGCGUAGAUGGAUGUUUAAGUCAGUUGUGAAAGUUUGCGGCUCAACCGUAAAAUUGCAGUUGAUACUGGAUAUCUUGAGUGCAGUUGAGGCAGGCGGAAUUCGUGGUGUAGCGGUGAAACGCUUAGAUAUCACGAAGAACUCCGAUUGCGAAGGCAGCCUGCUAAGCUGCAACUGACAUUGAGGCUCGAAAGUGUGUGUAUCAAACAGGAUUAGAUACCCUGGUAGUCCACACGGUAAACGAUGAAUACUCGCUGUUUGCGAUAUACAGCAAGCGGCCAAGCGAAAGCGUUAAGUAUUCCACCUGGGGAGUACGCCGGCAACGGUGAAACUCAAAGGAAUUGACGGGGGCCCGCACAAGCGGAGGAACAUGUGGUCUAAUUCGAUGAUACGCGAGGAACCUUACCCGGGCUUAAAUUGCAGAUGAAUUACGGUGAAAGCCGUAAGCCGCAAGGCAUCUGUGAAGGUGCUGCAUGGUUGUCGUCAGCUCGUGCCGUGAGGUGUCGGCUUAAGUGCCGUAACGAGCGCAACCCUUGUUGUCAGUUACUAACAGGUUCUGCUGAGGACUCUGACAAGACUGCCAUCGUAAGAUGUGAGGAAGGUGGGGAUGACGUCAAAUCAGCACGGCCCUUACGUCCGGGGCUACACACGUGUUACAAUGGGGGGUACAGAGGGCCGCUACCACGCGAGUGGAUGCCAAUCCCCAAAACCUCUCUCAGUUCGGACUGGAGUCUGCAACCCGACUCCACGAAGCUGGAUUCGCUAGUAAUCGCGCAUCAGCCACGGCGCGGUGAAUACGUUCCCGGGCCUUGUACACACCGCCCGUCAAGCCAUGGGAGCCGGGGGUACCUGAAGUGCGUAACCGCGAGGAGCGCCCUAGGGUAAAACUGGUGACUGGGGCUAAGUCGUAACAAGGUA